CCUACGGGCGGCAGCAGUGGGGAAUAUUGGACAAUGGGCGAAAGCCUGAUCCAGCCAUGCCGCGUGUGUGAAGAAGGCCUUCGGGUUGUAAAGCACUUUCAGUGGGGAAGAAAGCCUUGGGGCUAAUACCCUCGAGGAAGGACAUCACCCACAGAAGAAGCACCGGCUAACUCCGUGCCAGCAGCCGCGGUAAUACGGAGGGUGCGAGCGUUAAUCGGAAUUACUGGGCGUAAAGCGCGCGUAGGCGGUCUGAUAAGCCGGUUGUGAAAGCCCCGGGCUCAACCUGGGAACGGCAUCCGGAACUGUCAGGCUAGAGUGCAGGAGAGGAAGGUAGAAUUCCCGGUGUAGCGGUGAAAUGCGUAGAGAUCGGGAGGAAUACCAUUGGCGAAGGCGGCCUUCUGGACUGACACUGACGCUGAGGUGCGAAAGCGUGGGUAGCAAACAGGAUUAGAUACCGAGUAGUC
Molecule: ribosomal RNA, 464 nt
Filed under: Vreelandella stevensii
Lineage: Bacteria; Pseudomonadati; Pseudomonadota; Gammaproteobacteria; Oceanospirillales; Halomonadaceae
Description: partial 16S ribosomal RNA
Rfam family: Bacterial small subunit ribosomal RNA
Source: RNAcentral